Molecule: long non-coding RNA, 412 nt
Filed under: Salmo salar (Atlantic salmon)
Lineage: Eukaryota; Metazoa; Chordata; Actinopteri; Salmoniformes; Salmonidae
Description: lncRNA (ENSSSAG00000119327.1, ENSSSAG00075017728.1)
Source: RNAcentral
AGAAUUUCUACAAAAAGCUGACUGCAGUGACAAAUAUUCUGCAAGGAACAUGGUGUGAUUCCAACAAAGAAUUGGUGUGGAGGUCGUCUCGCCAGCAAAUGGGUGCUGUCCUACGAGAACAUUCAGCGAAUCACCCACCCCGACAUUUGAGACAAAGUCCUCUGUGAAGCCUCAAGCCAGUGGACCAACACCCCACACGAAUCGGAUCCAUAUAGACGGAUAGCCAAGGAUGAAUGCCCCAGGGAGAAUUGGACAUGUGGAAAAUGAAAGGGGGCAAUCCCACAAGAGAAGGUCUGACAUAAGGAUUAUUUACUAAUCUUACCAAAGACACUGUUUAGAUAUGCGGCAAUAUUGACACAUGGGCGGAGCCAGGUGUCAACAGGGGGGUAGGAUGGUAGAACAGGUGAUAGAG